CCCUUAGAUGUUCUGGGCUGCACGCGCGCUACACUGAUGCGUUCAACGAGUUUAUGACCUUGCCCGAUAGGGUUGGGUAAUCUUUUUAAAUCGCAUCGUGAUGGGGAUAGAUUAUUGCAAUUAUUAAUCUUCAACGAGGAAUUCCUAGUAAGCGCGAGUCAUCAGCUCGUGCUGAUUACGUCCCUGCCCUUUGUACACACCGCCCGUCGCUCCUACCGAUUGAGUGGUCCGGUGAAUAAUUCGGACUGCAGCAGUGUUCAGUUCCUGAACGUUGCAGCGGAAAGUUUAGUGAACCUUAUCACUUAGAGGAAGGAGAAGUCGUANCA
This 326-nucleotide ribosomal RNA is filed under the name uncultured eukaryote. RNAcentral describes it as "partial 18S ribosomal RNA". It matches the Rfam family "Eukaryotic small subunit ribosomal RNA", at positions 1470 to 1796 of the family's 1831-position model. The record is from RNAcentral.